Molecule: ribosomal RNA, 250 nt
Filed under: uncultured bacterium
Lineage: Bacteria
Description: partial 16S ribosomal RNA
Rfam family: Bacterial small subunit ribosomal RNA
Source: RNAcentral
UACAUGGGGUGCAAACGUUGCUCGGAAUUAUUGGGCGUAAAGCGCACGUAGGCGGUCCGUUAAGUCAGAUGUGAAAGCCCCCGGCUCAACCGGGGAAGUGCAUCUGAAACUGGCGGGCUAGAGUACGAAAGAGGGUCGCGGAAUUCCCGGUGUAGAGGUGAAAUUCGUAGAUAUCGGGAGGAACACCGGUGGCGAAGGCGGCGACCUGGGUCGAUACUGACGCUGAGGUGCGAAAGCGUGGGGAGCAAAC